AUGCAGUCGACGCGAAAGUUCCCUUCGGGGAGCGAGUAGAGUGGCGCACGGGUGAGUAACACGUAGGUAAUCUACCUUUGGAUUGGGAAUAACAACCGGAAACGGUUGCUAAUACCGAAUAAUGCAGCGGCACCUAAUGGUGACAGUUGUUAAAGCGGGGGAUCGCAAGACCUCGCGUCUGAAGAGGAGCCUGCGGCGGAUUAGCUAGUUGGUAAGGUAAUGGCUUACCAAGGCUAUGAUCCGUAGCCGGCCUGAGAGGGCGGUCGGCCACACUGACACUGACAUACGGGUCAGACUCCUACGGGAGGCAGCAGUCGGGAAUUUUGGGCAAUGGGCGAAAGCCUGACCCAGCAACGCCGCGUGAAGGAUGAAAUCCUUCGGGAUGUAAACUUCGCAAGAACGGGAAGAAUAAGUAAGAGUUAAUAUCUCUUACGAUGACGGUACUGUUUGUAAGCUCCGGCUAACUCCGUGCCAGCAGCCGCGGUAAUACGGGGGGAGCAAGCGUUGUUCGGAUUUACUGGGCGUAAAGGGCGCGUAGGCGGCCACCGCAAGUCGAUUGUGAAAUCUCCGGGCUUAACCCGGAAAGGUCAACCGAUACUGCGGGGCUAGAGUGCAGAAGGGGCAACUGGAAUUCUCGGUGUAGCGGUGAAAUGCGUAGAUAUCGAGAGGAACACCUGCGGCGAAGGCGGGUUGCUGGGCUGACACUGACGCUGAUGUGCGAAAGCUAGGGGAGCGAACGGGAUUAGAUACCCCGGUAGUCCUAGCCUUAAACGAUGAAUGCUUGGUGUCUGGGGUUUUAUAGUCCCCGGGUGCCGUCGCUAACGCUUUAAGCAUUCCGCCUGGGGAGUAC
RNAcentral lists this ribosomal RNA (850 nucleotides) under uncultured bacterium. RNAcentral's name for it is "bacterial SSU rRNA". It matches the Rfam family "Bacterial small subunit ribosomal RNA", at positions 55 to 883 of the family's 1533-position model. The record is from RNAcentral.